GAUGAACGCUAGCUACAGGCUUAACACAUGCAAGUCGAGGGGAAACGGCAUUAAGUGCUUGCACUUUUUGGACGUCGACCGGCGCACGGGUGAGUAACGCGUAUCCAACCUUCCCAUGACUAAGGGAUAACCUGCCGAAAGGCAGACUAAUACCUUAUGGUCUUCACUGACGGCAUCAGAUGUGAAGUAAAGAUUUAUCGGUCAUGGAUGGGGAUGCGUCUGAUUAGCUUGUUGGCGGGGUAACGGCCCACCAAGGCAACGAUCAGUAGGGGUUCUGAGAGGAAGGUCCCCCACAUUGGAACUGAGACACGGUCCAAACUCCUACGGGAGGCAGCAGUGAGGAAUAUUGGUCAAUGGGCGAGAGCCUGAACCAGCCAAGUAGCGUGCAGGAAGACGGCCCUAUGGAUUGUAAACUGCUUUUGUAUGGGGAUAAAGUCAGUCACGUGUGAUUGUUUGCAGGUACCAUACGAAUAAGGACCGGCUAAUUCCGUGCCAGCAGCCGCGGUAAUACGGAAGGUCCGGGCGUUAUCCGGAUUUAUUGGGUUUAAAGGGAGCGUAGGCUGGAGAUUAAGUGUGUUGUGAAAUGUAGACGCUCAACGUCUGACUUGCAGCGCAUACUGGUUUCCUUGAGUACGCACAACGUUGGCGGAAUUCGUCGUGUAGCGGUGAAAUGCUUAGAUAUGACGAAGAACUCCGAUUGCGAAGGCAGCUGACGGGAGCGCAACUGACGCUGAAGCUCGAAGGUGCGGGUAUCGAACAGG
This 761-nucleotide ribosomal RNA is filed under the name Prevotella melaninogenica. RNAcentral describes it as "bacterial SSU rRNA". It matches the Rfam family "Bacterial small subunit ribosomal RNA", at positions 28 to 776 of the family's 1533-position model. The record is from RNAcentral. Lineage: Bacteria; Pseudomonadati; Bacteroidota; Bacteroidia; Bacteroidales; Prevotellaceae.